UGGGUACCAUUACUAGAUGGUCACUUCGAUUGGUACAAAAAUUUAUUUCUAUACUAUCAAUUUAAGUUUAGACCUAUGAGAUCACACAUAUUAGAGUUCACAAUCCAAUCGAAUGGUUGAUCAACGAUUGAGAAUUGUUCUAGGGUUAAACGAUCAAUACGAUUGACAUUUAACCUAGUGCAAGUGUUAUAGGAGGAUCGAUUAGUAAUUC
This 211-nucleotide long non-coding RNA is filed under the name Elaeis guineensis (African oil palm). RNAcentral describes it as "long non-coding RNA (EGUI_LNC059324)". Lineage: Eukaryota; Viridiplantae; Streptophyta; Magnoliopsida; Arecales; Arecaceae. The record is from RNAcentral.